RNAcentral lists this ribosomal RNA (436 nucleotides) under uncultured bacterium. RNAcentral's name for it is "bacterial SSU rRNA". It matches the Rfam family "Bacterial small subunit ribosomal RNA", at positions 954 to 1392 of the family's 1533-position model. The record is from RNAcentral.
AUGGGAACGCGAAGAACCUUACCUAGACUUGACAUCUCCUGAAUAGUGUAGAGAUACAUGAAGCCCUUCGGGGCAGGAAGACAGGUGGUGCAUGGUUGUCGUCAGCUCGUGUCGUGAGAUGUUGGGUUAAGUCCCGCAACGAGCGCAACCCUUAUUACUAGUUGCUACCAUUAAGUUGAGCACUCUAGUGAGACUGCCCGGGUUAACCGGGAGGAAGGCGGGGAUGACGUCAAAUCAUCAUGCCCCUUAUGUCUAGGGCAACACACGUGCUACAAUGGUGAGUACAGAUAGAUGCGAUACCGCAAGGUGGNGCCAAACUCUAAAACUCAUCCCAGUUCGGAUUGUAGGCUGCAACUCGCCUACAUGAAGUUGGAGUUGCUAGUAAUCGCGAAUCAGAAUGUCGCGGUGAAUACGUUCCCGGGUCUUGUACACACCG